CACGCCGUAAACGGUGGACGCUGGAUGUGGGGCCCAUUCCACGGGUUCUGUGUCGGAGCUAACGCGUUAAGCGUCCCGCCUGGGGAGUACGGCCGCAAGGCUAAAACUCAAAGAAAUUGACGGGGGCCCGCACAAGCGGCGGAGCAUGCGGAUUAAUUCGAUGCAACGCGAAGAACCUUACCUGGGCUUGACAUGUGCCUGAUGACUGCAGAGAUGUGGUUUCCCUUCGGGGCAGGUUCACAGGUGG
RNAcentral lists this ribosomal RNA (247 nucleotides) under uncultured bacterium. RNAcentral's name for it is "partial 16S ribosomal RNA". It matches the Rfam family "Bacterial small subunit ribosomal RNA", at positions 796 to 1041 of the family's 1533-position model. The record is from RNAcentral. RNAcentral also lists the same sequence under 1 other name.